This 133-nucleotide ribosomal RNA is filed under the name Rhinosardinia amazonica (Amazon spinejaw sprat). RNAcentral's name for it is "partial 16S ribosomal RNA". Lineage: Eukaryota; Metazoa; Chordata; Actinopteri; Clupeiformes; Clupeidae. The record is from RNAcentral.
ACUAAACAGCUAGCUCAACCAACCAAGUUAAGCCCACAACAUUGCAUAAUUUAACAUAAAAUAACCCUACCAAAUUAAACCAUUUGACCGCCUUAGUAAUUGGACGACAGAAAAGGACCUAAUGAAGCCAUAG